AAGGGCAUUGCAUGGCUGAUCAACUGUUUUUGGAUGUUGAUGACUUUGUCGCGUCGCAUGCAAUUGUAUGCGACGCGACAUUACACAUUACUGAAAAAGUUACACAAGUCCUCAUGGUCCUUAUAGAGUGGGCCACACAUUUGCUACAAUGGAUGCUCGGUCGUGCCGCUCGCCAGCGAACCUAAAAAUCAUUCGAAGUCCAGAUUAGAUAUCUGAAACCGGUACUAUUAAGUAGGAAUCGCGAGUAAUCGAAAAUCAGACAAGUUUCGGUGAAGUUAAAAGAUAUUGUAGACAUUGACUAUUUCAGAUCCUGAAAUAGUCGUGGCAUACAUAUCUUCAUUAUUUUAGUUGAUCUAGUACUCACUGCCCGUCAAGUACUGAAAGAAAUUUUGAUGUGAAAAUACAUAAUUAUCAUAUAGAUACACAAUGUAUAUAUAACUUUAACGUUUUAAUUGGUAUUAAGUCGUAACAAGGUGACACUAGGGGAACCUGGUGUCGAGAUAGAAAA
Molecule: ribosomal RNA, 508 nt
Filed under: Chlamydomonas moewusii
Lineage: Eukaryota; Viridiplantae; Chlorophyta; Chlorophyceae; Chlamydomonadales; Chlamydomonadaceae
Description: small subunit ribosomal RNA fragment c
Rfam family: Bacterial small subunit ribosomal RNA
Source: RNAcentral